GACGAACGCUGGCGGCGUGCUUAACACAUGCAAGUCGAACGGAAAGGCCCUGCUUUUGUGGGGUGCUCGAGUGGCGAACGGGUGAGUAACACGUGAGUAACCUGCCCUUGACUUUGGGAUAACUUCAGGAAACUGGGGCUAAUACCGGAUAGGAGCUCCUGCUGCAUGGUGGGGGUUGGAAAGUUUCGGCGGUUGGGGAUGGACUCGCGGCUUAUCAGCUUGUUGGUGGGGUAGUGGCUUACCAAGGCUUUGACGGGUAGCCGGCCUGAGAGGGUGACCGGCCACAUUGGGACUGAGGUACGGCCCAGACUGCUACGGGAGGCAGCAGUGGGAAAUAUUGCACAAUGGGCGGAAGCCUGAUACAACAACGCCGCGUGCGGGAUGACGGCCUUCGGGUUGUAAACCGCUUUCGCCUGUGACGAAGCGUGAGUGACGGUAAUGGGUAAAGAAGCACCGGCUAACUACGUG
RNAcentral lists this ribosomal RNA (468 nucleotides) under uncultured bacterium. RNAcentral describes it as "partial 16S ribosomal RNA". It matches the Rfam family "Bacterial small subunit ribosomal RNA", at positions 28 to 507 of the family's 1533-position model. The record is from RNAcentral.